CACAAUUCUAUAAACUAACAAUUAUCAAUUUCAAAAAGAGAUUAAGAAAACAGCCCUGUUUAAUAUAGCAUCGAAAGGAUUACCUACUUAGGAAUAAACCUAACCAAGGAGAUGAAAGGCUCCUACAUUGAAAACUCACAACAUUGCUGAAAUAUCCCAUACUCAAGGGUUGGAAAACUCAAUCAAUAAAAUGUCCAUACUAUACCAAAGUGAUCUUCAGAUUCAACACAAUCUCCUAUCAGAAUUCCCCGGGGUAUUUUAUUGCAGAAAGAGAAAACAAAGUCCUAUAAUUCGUAUUGAAUCUCAAGGGACAUCAAUAGCCAAAACAAUAUUGAAAAGGAAGAAUAAAAUUGAAGACCUCAUGUUUCUGGAUUUCAAAACAUACUCCAAAGCAACGGUAAUCAUGUGAGUGUCCAACCAACAUAAAAACAGAUUAAAUUUAGACCAACGGAACAGGACAGGGAAACCAAUAAUAGACCUUGAUGGCUAAGUGACUUUCAGCAAGGUUGCCAAGAUGACACAAUGGAGAAAGAGCAGUCUGCUCAACAAAUAGCGCUGGGAAAACUGGAUAUCCCCAGGAAAGAGAAUGAAGAUGGGCCCUGACCUUAUUAUACUAUAUGCAACAAGUAGCUCAAAAUGGAGCAAAGACCUAAAUGUAAGAACUAACACCAUAGAAUUCUUGGAAGAAAACAUAGGAGGAAAUCCUCAUGAUAUUGAAUUUGGCAAUGAUUUCUUAGAUGUGACACUAAAAGCACAGGCAACUUAAGUAAAAAUGCAUAAACUGGAUGAUCUUCAAAAUUAAAACUUCUAUACAUCAAAGGAUACACUCAAAAGAGUGAAAAGGCAACUAUAAAUAGGGAAAUAUUUGCAAAUAAUUUGUAUUUGAGAAGUG
Molecule: long non-coding RNA, 892 nt
Filed under: Marmota monax (woodchuck)
Lineage: Eukaryota; Metazoa; Chordata; Mammalia; Rodentia; Sciuridae
Source: RNAcentral